GUCCACGCCGUAAACGAUGGGUGCUAGGUGUGGGGGUGUCGACUCCCUCCGUGCCGCAGCUAACGCAUUAAGCACCCCGCCUGGGGAGUACGGCCGCAAGGCUAAAACUCAAAGGAAUUGACGGGGACCAGCACAAGCAGCGGAGCAUGUGGUUUAAUUCGAUGCAACGCGAAGAACCUUACCAGGGCUUGACAUGCACUGGAAAGCCGUAGAAAUACGGUCCUCCUUCGGGACCAGUGCACAGGUGGUGCAUGGCUGUCGU
Molecule: ribosomal RNA, 262 nt
Filed under: uncultured bacterium
Lineage: Bacteria
Description: partial 16S ribosomal RNA
Rfam family: Bacterial small subunit ribosomal RNA
Source: RNAcentral